AUUGAACGCUGGCGGCAUGCUUUACACAUGCAAGUCGAACGGCAGCGCGGGCUUCGGCCUGGCUGCGAGUGGCGAACGGGUGAGUAAUGCAUCGGAACGUGCCCAGCAGUGGGGGAUAGCCCGGCGAAAGCCGGAUUAAUACCGCAUACGACCUGCGGGUGAAAGCGGGGGACCGAUAGGCCUCGCGCUAUUGGAGCGGUCGAUGUCGGAUUAGCUAGUUGGUGGGGUAAAGGCUUACCAAGGCGAGGAUCCGUAGCUGGUCUGAGAGGACGAGCAGCCACACUGGGACUGAGACACGGCCCAGACUCCUACGGGAGGCAGCAGUGGGGAAUUUUGGACAAUGGGGGCAACCCUGAUCCAGCCAUGCCGCGUGCGGGAAGAAGGCCUUCGGGUUGUAAACCGCUUUUGUUCGGGAAGAAAUCCUCUGGGCUAAUACCCCGGGGGGAUGACGGUACCGGAAGAAUAAGCACCGGCUAACUACGUG
Molecule: ribosomal RNA, 484 nt
Filed under: uncultured bacterium
Lineage: Bacteria
Description: partial 16S ribosomal RNA
Rfam family: Bacterial small subunit ribosomal RNA
Source: RNAcentral